RNAcentral lists this ribosomal RNA (463 nucleotides) under uncultured bacterium. Its description in RNAcentral is "bacterial SSU rRNA". It matches the Rfam family "Bacterial small subunit ribosomal RNA", at positions 29 to 532 of the family's 1533-position model. The record is from RNAcentral.
AGCGAACGCUGGCGGCAGGCUUAACACAUGCAAGUCGAACGGGCGUAGCAAUACGUCAGUGGCAGACGGGUGAGUAACGCGUGGGAACGUACCUUUUGGUUCGGAACAACACAGGGAAACUUGUGCUAAUACCGGAUAAGCCCUUACGGGGAAAGAUUUAUCGCCGAAAGAUCGGCCCGCGUCUGAUUAGCUAGUUGGUGAGGUAAUGGCUCACCAAGGCGACGAUCAGUAGCUGGUCUGAGAGGAUGAUCAGCCACAUUGGGACUGAGACACGGCCCAAACUCCUACGGGAGGCAGCAGUGGGGAAUAUUGGACAAUGGGGGCGAACCCUGAUCCAGCCAUGCCGCGUGAGUGAUGAAGGCCCUAGGGUUGUAAAGCUCUUUUGUGCGGGAAGAUAAUGACGGUACCGCAAGAAUAAGCCCCGGCUAACUUCGUGCCAGCAGCCGCGGUAAGGCACGACUGU